UCUGACCAAAUUUCCAAUUACUGGGAGCAAUCCAGCGAGAGGUAGAGUACCUGAGAUCACUGCUUCUCACUCUGAAAGACAGUGCCUCUCCCACUAACAUGACAUCAGUUUCCCAUUUUUGACCCCAAUUUCGCUUCAAAUUUGUCCAAUGCUUGAUUUUCUUGUUACCCUUUAGCUGCACUUGUGUGAUAUCUCCAGCUCCUCCAACAUUCCACACUGAUACCAGAUUAAAAUAAGGAUUCCCAGUGAUAGUGAACCGAAUUCCUCCUUUCUUCUUGCACGGUACCCUGCAAAAUUGUAAGACUCCUACACUUAAAUAAAUAUCAUUGGAAAAGUUUUUAUAAUAUUUUAACUACCACCUUAUGCAAAUAUGAUAAGCUUUUAUUCGUAACCUGCGAUAAUUGAUUGGGACUAUGCCAGCCUUAUACUCUGCAAUUUUGAGAUAUGCAGGUUUGGCCAAAUCAAAGUGUUCGCGUGGUGGGUUGCACCAUCCUCCAUUAUCACCAGGUAUAUCGUAGUUUGGAGGGCAAAGAUUGGUUCCCGUCACAAAAAUAGAGGAUUUCCCUGCCUUACAUCCUGCACGAGAAUUUACACAUUUGAUCUCGUAACAUGCACCGCAUGUCUGUCCAUCCUUGAACAAAACUGAACUCAAUGCUGUCGUAUCUAGGCCAUAGCCAUCCUUAACCACAUCAUCGUACCCACAAGCUCCACCUGCAUGCAAUGUGAUCAGGUUUCAUUAAGAAGAUACUCGUAACAACUUUACGUACAUAGUAUUGGUACAUGCAUUUAUUUCAAUGAGUUUUUAUAUUAUAACACAUCUUUUAUUUUGAACAUGGUAAAAAAAUUUAGACUGAAUAGCUUUAGAUAUAAGUAAUGAAAUCAGGUAAGAAAUAUUGUACCAAAUGUUUUAGUGUCUCCAUCGUAGAAGGUUGCAAGAGCUUUCUUCCAUCCAGUAGGCUUAAAAAUUGGACGAUGAUGUCUGAGUUCACCUUUCUUGUUAUAUUUGUUAUUGCUUUUGCCAGCAGCAUGGACAUUAGGAAGUGAGAAUGCUACAAGAAAGACCAAUGUUGUGAUUAGGAUGGCUCCCGAGAGGAAAGCCAUGACAACUUUUCAGAUUUGGUUUCAGUUCUCUCCAAUAUAUGAGAUGAUUCUUUGAUGUUUUCCUAUAUUUUCUCACCUGUAUCUGUAUGUAUAUAUAGGAAAAUGUGUUUAGCAUGUGUAACAAUUUUAAUUGGCUGCCACUUUCGCGGAAUGUUACAGUAUGA
RNAcentral lists this long non-coding RNA (1265 nucleotides) under Vigna radiata. RNAcentral's name for it is "long non-coding RNA (VRAD_LNC002412)". The record is from RNAcentral. Lineage: Eukaryota; Viridiplantae; Streptophyta; Magnoliopsida; Fabales; Fabaceae.